RNAcentral lists this ribosomal RNA (116 nucleotides) under uncultured bacterium. RNAcentral describes it as "partial 16S ribosomal RNA". It matches the Rfam family "Bacterial small subunit ribosomal RNA", at positions 1358 to 1482 of the family's 1533-position model. The record is from RNAcentral.
CGCGGUGAAUACGUUCCCGGACCUUGUACACACCGCCCGUCAAACCAUGGAAGCUGGGUGUACCUAAAGUCGGUAACCGCAAGGAGCUGCCUAGGGUAAAACUAGUAACUGGGGUU